This 72-nucleotide transfer RNA is filed under the name Planctomycetales bacterium. RNAcentral describes it as "tRNA-Thr". The stretch from base 2 to 58 matches the Rfam family "tRNA", at positions 8 to 63 of the family's 71-position model. From Rfam's summary of the family: Transfer RNA (tRNA) molecules are approximately 80 nucleotides in length. Their secondary structure includes four short double-helical elements and three loops (D, anti-codon, and T loops). Lineage: Bacteria; Pseudomonadati; Planctomycetota; Planctomycetia; Planctomycetales. The record is from RNAcentral.
UUAGCUCAGCGGUAGAGCAACGGUUUCGUAAACCGUAGGCCGGCGGUUCAAAUCCGCCCAUCGGCUCCGCCA